AGCUCCAAUAGCGUAUAUUAAAGUUGUUGCGGUAAAAGCUCGUAGUUGGAUUUCUGUUGAGAGAAAACGGUCCAUACCACGUAUGCGUAUCUGUCUUUCUCUCGGCAUCUUCUCGGACAUCGUUGCUGCGCUUGAUUGCGUGGUGCGAAUCUCGGGACUUUUACUUUGAGGAAAUUAGAGUGUUCACGGCAGGCUAUCGCCAGAAUACAUUAGCAUGGAAUAAUACUAUAGGAUCUUGGUUCUAUUUUGUUGGUUUCUAGAAUUAAGAUAAUGAUUAAUAGGGACAAUUGGGGGCAUUCGUAUCAACACGUCAGAGGUGGAAUUCUUGGAUUGUGUUGCGACGAACUACUGCGAAAGCAUUUGCCAAGGAUGUUUUCAUUGAUCAAGAACG
This 391-nucleotide ribosomal RNA is filed under the name uncultured eukaryote. Its description in RNAcentral is "SSU rRNA". It matches the Rfam family "Eukaryotic small subunit ribosomal RNA", at positions 587 to 985 of the family's 1831-position model. The record is from RNAcentral.